Long non-coding RNA from Helianthus annuus (common sunflower), 435 nucleotides. RefSeq lists it as uncharacterized. The transcript has 3 exons. Lineage: Eukaryota; Viridiplantae; Streptophyta; Magnoliopsida; Asterales; Asteraceae. The record is from RefSeq and is a predicted model, not a curated record.
GUUUAUGUCGCCAGGAGCAAGCACAGGAUGAAACCCCCCUUCUUGUUUCACUAAAUUGCACAAAUUGAGGCCCUAAUCAAGACAAUUACUCUUGCAUGUUGGUAGAUUCUUGAUCUUCUAGGUCCAUUCAAGCAUAAGGAAUUAAGGAGGAAAGCAAAAGCCGUUCCGAGUCUCAAACGAAGAACGAUAAAGGUAAAGCGACUUGCUAAAUGACGCUACUUGGAUCGAACACGCCCAUGAUGCACGCUUCCGCAAAGAUAUUAGUUUGGGUCAAAACUUUUGUUAAAUAUACUUUUGGUAAAUGGGUCUUUUUGUAAGUAACAAACUUGUUCGUUGUUAGAUGUCAAACUCGUAGUCAAAGACAAUGUUAGUUGUUUAUGGAAUGUUGGGUUGUAAGUUAUUUAACAUCUCCUAGUUAGUCAUGUUAUGGUUAAA